GGGAGAUUAGAGCGUAGAUGGCUAGCGUCCCUGGCUGUAAACCAGGUGCCUUCGGGCCCCGGGGGUUCAAGUCCCUCAUCUCCCA
Molecule: transfer RNA, 85 nt
Filed under: Pseudarthrobacter sp. BIM B-2242
Lineage: Bacteria; Bacillati; Actinomycetota; Actinomycetes; Micrococcales; Micrococcaceae
Description: tRNA-Tyr
Rfam family: tRNA
About the family: Transfer RNA (tRNA) molecules are approximately 80 nucleotides in length.
Source: RNAcentral